AGUGAACGCUGGCGGCGGGCCUAACACAUGCAAGUCGAACGGCAGCACAGUAAGCUUUUGCCUUUACGGGUGGCGAGUGGCGGAUGGGUGAGGCAUACAUCGGAUACCACUUUUUCGUGGGGGACAACGGAGGGCAACUUAUGCUAACACCGAAUAUGACCUACGGCUGAAAGCAGUGGUUCUUGGCACUUUUCGUGUCUCAUUGAGCUGAUGCCGCAUUAGCUAGUUGGCGGGGUAAAGGCCCACCAAGGCGACGAUCCGUAGCUGGUCUGAGAGGAUGAUCGGCCACACUGGAACUGAGACACGGUCCAGACUCCUACGGGAGGCAGCAGUAGGGAAUAUUGGGCAAUGGGCGAAAGCCUGAUCCAGCAAUGCCGCGCGGGUGAUGAAGGUCUUCGGGUUGUAAAGCCCUUUUGUUGGGAAAGAAAAGAAGUAGAUUAAUACCCCGCUGUUCUGACGGUACCCAAAGAAUAAGCACCGGCUAACUACGUG
RNAcentral lists this ribosomal RNA (492 nucleotides) under uncultured bacterium. RNAcentral describes it as "partial 16S ribosomal RNA". It matches the Rfam family "Bacterial small subunit ribosomal RNA", at positions 29 to 507 of the family's 1533-position model. The record is from RNAcentral.